RNAcentral lists this ribosomal RNA (505 nucleotides) under uncultured bacterium. Its description in RNAcentral is "partial 16S ribosomal RNA". It matches the Rfam family "Bacterial small subunit ribosomal RNA", at positions 28 to 507 of the family's 1533-position model. The record is from RNAcentral.
GACGAACGCUGGCGGCGUGCCUAAUACAUGCAAGUAGAACGCACAGUUUAUACCGUAGCUUGCUACACCAUAGACUGUGAGUUGCGAACGGGUGAGUAACGCGUAGGUAACCUGCCUGGUAGCGGGGGAUAACUAUUGGAAACGAUAGCUAAUACCGCAUAAUAUUAAUUAUUGCAUGAUAAUUAAUUGAGAGGUGCAAUUGCACCACUACCAGAUGGACCUGCGUUGUAUUAGCUAGUAGGUGAGGUAACGGCUCACCUAGGCGACGAUACAUAGCCGACCUGAGAGGGUGAUCGGCCACACUGGGACUGAGACACGGCCCAGACUCCUACGGGAGGCAGCAGUAGGGAAUCUUCGGCAAUAGACGAAAGUCUGACCGAGCAACGCCGCGUGAGUGAAGAAGGUUUUCGGAUCGUAAAGCUCUGUUGUAAGAGAAGAACGGGUGUGAGAGUGGAAAGUUCACACUGUGACGGUAUCUUACCAGAAAGGGACGGCUAACUACGUG